Molecule: long non-coding RNA, 554 nt
Filed under: Mus spicilegus (steppe mouse)
Lineage: Eukaryota; Metazoa; Chordata; Mammalia; Rodentia; Muridae
Description: lncRNA (ENSMSIG00000020595.1)
Source: RNAcentral
CAAUAAGAGUAUCUGAUGUAAAUAUUUCCUUUGGAGAAAUGACAUACUAACCAUGUUUAAAGUGAGUAAUUUGAAUUUGCCAUUAUUUUCACAUUUCUAAUAUAAGUAUGAUAUAUUGUGAAAAUCAAGUCUUUAAUUUCUUUUUGGAUAAAGGAUUGCCUGAACCUUAGUAUGGCUUCAAAUUCACAAUAUACAUGGGCAUGACCUUGAACUCUUACUGUGAUUAUAGACAUGGACCACCAAACUAAUAUUUUUGGCCUCUUUUUUUCCUCCAGGUCUAUUCCUAAAAGACAGUAGAUAAGAGACCAGGAGGUACUACAUAACAACGGCUUCUAAAAUCUGGAAGAGAAGAAGCCAUAAUGCUCUGAUGGAACUUCCAGAAGAGGAUUUGUCAUACCAACCUCAUUGUACUCCAAGGAGACCACUUUCAGCACUGUUAUCUCCAUAAGCUAAUGCAGGGGAAUAGAUCUGCCGCUGAUGCAAUGCUCCCUGCCGUGUGGACAGAAUCUUCACACUUCCUGAGACUCAUGCAUAUGCUAACGAGGAGAGUGUGA